This 87-nucleotide transfer RNA is filed under the name Enterovibrio nigricans. RNAcentral's name for it is "tRNA-Leu". Lineage: Bacteria; Pseudomonadati; Pseudomonadota; Gammaproteobacteria; Vibrionales; Vibrionaceae. The record is from RNAcentral.
GCCCUAGUGUUGGAGUCGGUAGACAAAAUGGAUUUAAAAUCCGUCUCAAUUCGCGCCGUGCGAGUUCAAGUUUCGCCUCGGACACCA